RNAcentral lists this ribosomal RNA (253 nucleotides) under uncultured bacterium. RNAcentral describes it as "partial 16S ribosomal RNA". It matches the Rfam family "Bacterial small subunit ribosomal RNA", at positions 524 to 776 of the family's 1533-position model. The record is from RNAcentral.
UACGUAGGGGGCAAGCGUUGUCCGGAAUCAUUGGGCGUAAAGCGCGCGUAGGCGGCCCGGUAAGUCCGCUGUAAAAGUCCAGGGCUCAACCCUGGAAAGCCGGUGGAUACUGUCGGGCUAGAGUCCGGAAGAGGCGAGUGGAAUUCCUGGUGUAGCGGUGGAAUGCGCAGAUAUCAGGAGGAACACCGAUGGCGAAGGCAGCUCGCUGGGACGGGACUGACGCUGAGGAGCGAAAGCGUGGGGAGCGAACAGG